AAGUCGAACGGAAAGGCCCUGCUUUUGGGGGGUGCUCGAGUGGCGAACGGGUGAGUAACACGUGAGUAACCUGCCCUUGACUUUGGGAUAACUUCAGGAAACUGGGGCUAAUACCGGAUAGGAGCUCCUGCUGCAUGGUGGGGGUUGGAAAGUUUCGGCGGUUGGGGAUGGACUCGCGGCUUAUCAGCUUGUUGGUGGGGUAGUGGCUUACCAAGGCUUUGACGGGUAGCCGGCCUGAGAGGGUGAUCGGCCACAUUGGGACUGAGAUACGGCCCAGACUCCUACGGGGGGCAGCAGUGGGGAAUAUUGCACAAUGGGCGGAAGCCUGAUGCAGCAACGCCGCGUGCGGGAUGACGGCCUUCGGGUUGUAAACCGCUUUCGCCUGUGACGAAGCGUGAGUGACGGUAAUGGGUAAAGAAGCACCGGCUAACUACGUGCCAGCAGCCGCGGUGAUACGUAGGGUGCGAGCGUUGUCCGGAUUUAUUGGGCGUAAAGGGCUCGUAGGUGGUUGAUCGCGUCGGAAGUGUAAUCUUGGGGCUUAACCCUGAGCGUGCUUUCGAUACGGGUUGACUUGAGGAAGGUAGGGGAGAAUGGAAUUCCUGGUGGAGCGGUGGAAUGCGCAGAUAUCAGGAGGAACACCAGUGGCGAAGGCGGUUCUCUGGGCCUUUCCUGACGCUGAGGAGCGAAAGCGUGGGGAGCGAACAGGCUUAGAUACCCUGGUAGUCCACGCUGUAAACGGUGGGUACUAGGUGUGGGGUCCAUUCCACGGGUUCCGUGCCGUAGCUAACGCUUUAAGUACCCCGCCUGGGGAGUACGGCCGCAAGGCUAAAACUCAAAGGAAUUGACGGGGCCCCGCACAAGCGGCGGAGCAUGCGGAUUAAUUCGAUGCAACGCGUAGAACCUUACCUGGGUUUGACAUGGAUCGGGAGUGCUCAGAGAUGGGUGUGCCUCUUUUGGGGUCGGUUCACAGGUGGUGCAUGGCUGUCGUCAGCUCGUGUCGUGAGAUGUUGGGUUAAGUCCCGCAACGAGCGCAACCCUUGUUCACUGUUGCCAGCACGUUAUGGUGGGGACUCAGUGGAGACCGCCGGGGUCAACUCGGAGGAAGGUGGGGAUGACGUCAAGUCAUCAUGCCCCUUAUGUCCAGGGCUUCACGCAUGCUACAAUGGCUGGUACAGAGAGUGGCGAGCCUGUGAGGGUGAGCGAAUCUCGGAAAGCCGGUCUCAGUUCGGAUUGGGGUCUGCAACUCGACCUCAUGAAGUCGGAGUCGCUAGUAAUCGCAGAUCAGCAACGCUGCGGUGAAUACGUUCCCGGGGCUUGUACACACCGCCCGUCAAGUCAUGAAAGUUGGUAACACCCGAAGCCGGUGGCCUAACCGUUGUGGGGGAGCCGUCGAAGGUGGGACUGGUGAUUAGG
This 1413-nucleotide ribosomal RNA is filed under the name uncultured organism. RNAcentral describes it as "16S ribosomal RNA". It matches the Rfam family "Bacterial small subunit ribosomal RNA". The record is from RNAcentral.